GCCUAAUUUACUUCCAAGUUCUUAGCCCUCAUUACUUCCCAAGAAGCACGUCACCUGGAUUUAUCAUCACCAGAAGAGCUGCAUCAGUAACUCAGAAGACUGAGGAAUGCAAUUACUGGCACAGGACCAUCACCAACAUCAGAUAGGGUGAAGAGGCUGGGCUUCCCACCUGGGCAAGAGCCUGGGGCAGGCACAGCUCCCUGUCACCUAAGACAGUGAGGGCUGCUCAGGAGAGGAUGGCACGACUGCCAGAGCCUGAGAUCAGGUAAGACCAGGUGUCUUCAGGGCAGUUAAAAGUGCUGACAGAAAGAUGAGCCAAAGGGACUGCGAGGUGUUCAGUGAAGGAGUAAGAAGUUGUCAUGGAGAACUGAACCCACAGCACCAAUUGGAACUGGCUGCUAUCACCACACAUGCCUUACAGAGAGGAGCAGAGCACUACUGAGGACACUGCUGGUUUGGAAUCUCUGCUGAAAAACUACUCUUAAAAUCUCCAGAUUGGUUAUUAUAAAAAUAUUUAAAAUUUCUUAGCAUCACUCAAUUCAUUAGGAGGGCAACAAAAAGGAAGCAAAUACUCACUUUCCCUUCAAGAAAAAGCAUGCCAUGUGGCUGCUUAGAGAACCUUGCAUAUCCAAACAUCAGAGUACUGGCUUUUGAAGGACAUGGAUAACACACUGCACAGUUUAAGAACACAGAACUUCAGACCAGAGUACAAAAGUUUACGCAGAAAUGUUUUGAAGACGUCAGACAGACACACCAAAAGAAUGGAACAGCCCAUGCUUUGCAGAUCUACAGAAUUAGACACCUUACUGCUAUCAGAACUGGGCAAAAGAGUGCACAAAUCAGUGCUGAAUGAAGAAACAUCCCUGCCUGAAAAAGCCCUCUAAUUCGGUUUAUUUUCAGCUGAUCAGUUCUCUGCUCAUGUAUACCAUGCUGUUAUUUCUGCUAUCACAAGAGGAGGGAACAUGAAUUAGUACAGCACAUUCAUCCAUAGAGAUCUGUGGAGGUAAGAUUUCUAGAUUUUGCAAACAGACAAGAAACACUGGUGCUCCUGAGCAGCACAUUACAAUAGGAAUGAGGAAUUUCCCCCUUGUCUAUAAUAAGUUCAUUGCUACUCUGCUCCAUUAAAAACAAUUCCUAGAAAUAGUUAAACAAAAAACUUGUAUUUUUCUUUCUGCUGAUAGAGACAGUGAAAGACCUAAAAGAUGAACAAAUACACAAUCAAAGGAAAUGGGAAAAAAAAAAAAGAGGACCUAUUUGGUCUGCAACCUGGGAUAACUAAUAUUGUUAUACUAGGAAAGAAAAUGACUGAAAGCUUCAGGUGCUCAUAAAGUUUUUAGUUAAAAUGGUCCCAAGAACACCAGUAAAUCUUCACUGUCCAAAGACCAGUCACAUUGCUGUACCCUACUGCAUUGGCUCCUGUCAUCAUUUCAUCACUAAGACUAAAAAACUUUUUUUAAAAUCUGAAUUUAAAAUCUAUUUCCAGAGGUGCUCCAAAAAAAAAUAUUGUAGGAAUAAGUGUGGCAAAAGCAGAAGCAACUGCAACCCAGCCUUUCCCUGCUGCCAGGUAAGAUGCCAAACUGUCCUCUAGCCAGGAACUGUUUCUCAACUGCAUUAGUUACAAUAAGGAAUAAUUAACUCAUAGUUCUCCAUUUAUAAUAAACAGAGACACACACUUCCAAGAAACAAGUUAAGAAAGAUGACUGGGAAAACUUUUUAUUGAUGCUUAAAUACUCAUCUUCACAAAAACUAGCUUCAAUCUAAGACAUACUUGGAACCUGGGAUUUCAGGAGUCACGCAUACUAAGAGGUAUUGUUGAUUUGAGAUUAAACCUGUUAAAACACCUCCAGUCAAAUAAAAGAAAAGCAAUUUAAUCACAGGCACACUCAGCUAAUCCAGCCCUUCACAAAUGUCUGACCACCUCAAAGGGCAACACUUGGAUUUUGCUGGGGGAGAAACCUUAAGCAGAAAACUCCUCUGGGCUCCUCAGUAGAAAAACACAUCACUCCAUCCUAUACACCCACUUAACUACCAUCAACAGAGCAAACCAGGCCUACAAAUUCUCUCCCCGAAGCUACUUCAGGUGAAUCAUGAGCUUUAAAGGCUAUUUUAUCUUCCAACAACUCUGGAUGCCAUUAUGUGUGAGUGCUGAAGUAUAGGGAGAGAUCAGUCAUGGCUCGACUUCCCAGCGCUGCAGAACUCCAUGUACAUCCCAGGGAGGAGGAGGUGGAACAGAGGGCGAUCAGAGGAGAACAAACUGUGCAGGACUACUUGAGGAAACAGUCACAUCUUUCUAUUCUCAGAAAAUCCUCUCACAGC
This is a long non-coding RNA of Parus major (Great Tit), 2316 nucleotides long. RefSeq lists it as uncharacterized. The record is from RefSeq and is a predicted model, not a curated record. NCBI's taxonomy places the organism in Eukaryota, Metazoa, Chordata, Aves, Passeriformes, Paridae. The transcript has 3 exons.